GAGAUUCUUUGGGGGUUUUGCUUGUCUCAGUCCCAUCAACAUUCCCACAAAAGGAAUCGAGCCAAAUCGAAGUUGGAUAACUCCGCAGGUGUGGAUUAGCGGGAAUUGACGGACCGUUCAGAGGACUUGAAGUUAUUUAUCUCCAGCUUGUGUGAGGAUUUUGUGUGACUAUCUUGCGAGGUUGUUGUGAGGAUUAUACAUUUCCAUUUGUUAUAAUGUUGAAUUAUAAUUUGGUUUGUAAUAAUCGGUUUGACU
Argentina anserina (silverweed cinquefoil) is the source of this 255-nucleotide long non-coding RNA. RefSeq lists it as uncharacterized. The record is from RefSeq and is a predicted model, not a curated record. Lineage: Eukaryota; Viridiplantae; Streptophyta; Magnoliopsida; Rosales; Rosaceae. The transcript has 2 exons.